Molecule: microRNA, 23 nt
Filed under: Homo sapiens (human)
Lineage: Eukaryota; Metazoa; Chordata; Mammalia; Primates; Hominidae
Description: hsa-miR-2054
Source: miRBase by way of RNAcentral
CUGUAAUAUAAAUUUAAUUUAUU